This 443-nucleotide ribosomal RNA is filed under the name uncultured bacterium. Its description in RNAcentral is "partial 16S ribosomal RNA". It matches the Rfam family "Bacterial small subunit ribosomal RNA", at positions 338 to 795 of the family's 1533-position model. The record is from RNAcentral.
CCUACGGGGGGCAGCAGUGGGGAAUAUUGGACAAUGGGGGGAACCCUGAUCCAGCGACGCCGCGUGAGUGAAGAAGUAUUUCGGUAUGUAAAGCUCUAUCAGCAGGGAAGAAAGAAAUGACGGUACCUGACUAAGAAGCCCCGGCUAACUACGUGCCAGCAGCCGCGGUAGUAAGUAGGGGGCAAGCGUUAUCCGGAUUUACUGGGUGUAAAGGGAGCGUAGACGGCGAUGCAAGUCUGAAGUGAAAGGCGGGGGCCCAACCCCCGGACUGCUUGGGAAACGGUAUGGCUGGAGUGCAGGGGAGGUAAGUGGAAUGCCUAGUGUAGCGGUGAAAUGCGUAGAUAUUAGGAGGAACACCAGUGGCGAAGGCGGCUUACUGGACUGUAACUGACGUUGAGGCUCGAAAGCGUGGGGAGCAAACAGGAUUAGAUACCCCUGUAGUC